This 337-nucleotide ribosomal RNA is filed under the name uncultured bacterium. RNAcentral describes it as "partial 16S ribosomal RNA". It matches the Rfam family "Bacterial small subunit ribosomal RNA", at positions 338 to 692 of the family's 1533-position model. The record is from RNAcentral.
CCUACGGGUGGCAGCAGUAGGGAAUAUUGCUCAAUGGGGGAAACCCUGAAGCAGCAACGCCGCGUGGAGGAUGAAGGUUUUCGGAUUGUAAACUCCUUUUGUUAGAGAAGAUAAUGACGGUAUCUAACGAAUAAGCACCGGCUAACUCCGUGCCAGCAGCCGCGGUAAUACGGAGGGUGCAAGCGUUACUCGGAAUCACUGGGCGGAAAGAGCGCGUAGGCGGGAUAGGAAGUCAGAUGGGAAAUCCUAUGGCUGAGCCAUAGAACUGCUUGUGAAACUGUUAUUCUAGAGUAUGGGAGGGGUAGGAGGAAGUCUGGGGGUAGGGGGCAAAGGCGGA